RNAcentral lists this long non-coding RNA (844 nucleotides) under Ananas comosus (pineapple). Its description in RNAcentral is "long non-coding RNA (ACOM_LNC039324)". Lineage: Eukaryota; Viridiplantae; Streptophyta; Magnoliopsida; Poales; Bromeliaceae. The record is from RNAcentral.
ACCAUUAUUCACGACCAAACAGCACCUGAAUGGGGAAGGCCUGGUGUAGAGCAUGACAUUCCGCCUGCAAAGCAAAUAAGGAAACAUCUAGUUGUGUUAUUGCAAAGAGACAGAAAAUUUAAACAAACAAGUAUUGCUAAUUAUAUUUCAUUGAUUAGCAUAAUCAUAUAAAGAUAACAUGGAGCAUGUUAUCCAACACUUUAUUACGAAUACUAUCAGGAAGCAUCAGAAACUAUUAUGCAACAAUUGAUAUGCAGGAAAUAAUUAGCAUCUCUUCCUGAAUCUUGUGAGAAUCAGUAAAAGAUAUAGUCCUCCUAACAAUUCAAAAGCCUCAUCCAAAUUCCUAAUUUUACAAGUCCAAGAAGUUACCAAUUUGGACAAAUAUAUAGCUAGCUAAUUGUGGUAGCUAAAAUUUUUUUCAUAAAAAAAAAUUAACACAAUGAGGAAAAAAUAGAAACUUAACAUAAAACAAAGUUGAACAUUGAUGUAACUAAGCAUUGGAAGUAGAAAUACAAGACGAACAGAAUAAAUAAUUUUAGCAUAGGAAACCUCUUUCUCCCUUUCUACAACAUAUCGCAUGUCACAUCGUUACAAAUAUCGAAUUAAAUAACAAAUGCUCUGAUUAAUUUAAAUACUAUAUACACAAACUAUAACCUAACUCUAUACAAACAAAUAAAUAAAAAUGUACCUCUACUAACUCGCAGUGGGCUUGAGUCUACAAAGAGCAACUCUAAUGUUACGUUGCACCCCAUAAAACACCUUCACCUGGAAGAUUUUCGGCUCAGCUUCACCGUCAACUGCUUGGAAGGUAACAUAGUACCAAAGUCCUGCUGCGACGCUACAC